This 442-nucleotide ribosomal RNA is filed under the name uncultured bacterium. RNAcentral's name for it is "bacterial SSU rRNA". It matches the Rfam family "Bacterial small subunit ribosomal RNA", at positions 338 to 796 of the family's 1533-position model. The record is from RNAcentral.
CCUACGGGUGGCAGCAGCAGGGAAUCUUGCGCAAUGGACGGAAGUCUGACGCAGCGACGCCGCGUGGGUGAAGACGGCCUUCGGGUUGUAAAGCCCUUUUCUGGAGGAAGAGGGAGGACGGUACUCCAGGAAUAAGUGUCGGCUAACUACGUGCCAGCAGCCGCGGUAAUACGUAGGACACGAGCGUUAUCCGGAUUUACUGGGCGUAAAGCGCCUGUAGGCGGUUCUUCAAGUCGUUUGUGAAAGCCCUGGGCUCAACCUGGGGAGGCCAAGCGAUACUGGAGGACUUGAGGGUGACAGAGGGGAGUGGAAUUUCCGGUGUAGCGGUAAAAUGCGCAGAUAUCGGGAGGAACACCAGUGGCGAAGGCGGCUCCCUGGGUCACACCAGACGCUGAGAGGCGAAAGCUAGGGGAGCGAACAGGAUUAGAUACCCCGGUAGUCG